This 133-nucleotide small RNA is filed under the name Klebsiella variicola. RNAcentral describes it as "RtT sRNA". It matches the Rfam family "RtT RNA". From Rfam's summary of the family: This family represents a bacterial cis-regulatory element known as RtT RNA. The exact function of RtT is unknown although it is thought that it may be involved in changing the cellular response in relation to amino acid starvation. RNAcentral also lists the same sequence under 1 other name. Lineage: Bacteria; Pseudomonadati; Pseudomonadota; Gammaproteobacteria; Enterobacterales; Enterobacteriaceae. The record is from RNAcentral.
UAUUCUACCCUACGGGGAAGGAUGAGAAGCUUCGACUAAGGUUCGACUCGAGCGCCAGCGAGAGAACGUUGCCGCAGGCAACGGCCCGAAGGGCGAGGCGCUUUAGCGCCGAGUUAUCCUUCCCCCUCUAUUC